RNAcentral lists this ribosomal RNA (922 nucleotides) under Thermochaetoides thermophila. RNAcentral's name for it is "eukaryotic LSU rRNA". It matches the Rfam family "Eukaryotic large subunit ribosomal RNA", at positions 23 to 978 of the family's 3401-position model. The record is from RNAcentral. Lineage: Eukaryota; Fungi; Ascomycota; Sordariomycetes; Sordariales; Chaetomiaceae.
ACCCGCUGAACUUAAGCAUAUCAAUAAGCGGAGGAAAAGAAACCAACAGGGAUUGCCCUAGUAACGGCGAGUGAAGCGGCAACAGCUCAAAUUUGAAAGCUGGCUUCGGCCCGCGUUGUAAUUUGGAGAGGAUGCUUUGGGCGAGGCUCCUUCUGAGUUCCCUGGAACGGGACGCCACAGAGGGUGAGAGCCCCGUAUAGUUGGAAGCCAAGCCUGUGUAAAGCUCCUUCGACGAGUCGAGUAGUUUGGGAAUGCUGCUCAAAAUGGGAGGUAAAUUUCUUCUAAAGCUAAAUACCGGCCAGAGACCGAUAGCGCACAAGUAGAGUGAUCGAAAGAUGAAAAGCACUUUGAAAAGAGGGUUAAAUAGCACGUGAAAUUGUUGAAAGGGAAGCGCUUGUGACCAGACUUGCGCCCGGCGGAUCAUCCGGUGUUCUCACCGGUGCACUCCGCCGGGCUCAGGCCAGCAUCGGUUCUGGCGGGGGGAUAAAGGCCCACGAAUGUGGCUCCCUCCGGGAGUGUUAUACCCUGGGUGUAUACCCCUCGGCGGGACCGAGGACCCGCGCUCUGCCAAGGAUGCUGGCGUAAUGGUCACCAGCGACCCGUCUUGAAACACGGACCAAGGAGUCAAGGUUUUGCGCGAGUGUUUGGGUGUAAAACCCGCACGCGUAAUGAAAGUGAACGUAGGUGAGAGCUUCGGCGCAUCAUCGACCGAUCCUGAUGUAUUCGGAUGGAUUUGAGUAGGAGCGUUAAGCCUUGGACCCGAAAGAUGGUGAACUAUGCUUGGAUAGGGUGAAGCCAGAGGAAACUCUGGUGGAGGCUCGCAGCGGUUCUGACGUGCAAAUCGAUCGUCAAAUCUGAGCAUGGGGGCGAAAGACUAAUCGAACCAUUUAGUAGCUGGUUACCGCCGAAGUUUCCCUCAGGA